CACGAGCGCGGCCGUGUCCGUGAAAGCUUCUCUAGAGGACUCGCGAUCGCUUCGAAGCGCUCAUCGAUCGCGCCGUCGGAGGAUGAGUUUCGCGAUGCCGCUAACGACGUCGGCCAUAGCCACGCUCGUAAACGCUCGCCGCGCGAAUCCCUCCAUCACGAUUUUAUUGUUUCACGUCCGUGAACGUUACCGUGUGUCAUUGAGCGGGUCGUUAAAAACAAGGGGGGACACAAGGGUAUACGUUUCAGCGUGUAAAUUUGUUUUGAUCGCGAGCUCGCCAAUUCGUCGUCGGGAGGAGAGCGUCGCUGUGUAACACGGUGCGACUAUCCCGUAAAUUCUCGGCCCAAUUAAAAGUUUCUAAUUGUGAUAUCUGCCGCGUUUGAAAGGGGAAGGCGAGAAAACGUAUCGUUGCUUCGAUUCGAACGUGGUUUGCCGUGCUGGAACCUAAUUUCUUCCGUCUUUUUGAGAAGAAAAGAGAAAUUAUUAUUUAGAACGGAGAUUCAUUUCGGUUUAAUUGGGAUGAUGAAUUUGUAUAUCAUGUGAAAGAAUAUGUGCUUAUUAUUGAAUUGAUUGAAUUAAUUUUUAGAUACAGUUUAAAGAUUAAAUAUAUCGAUCAUUGGAUAAUCAAGUGAUAAUGCUUCGCUCUUUAUGCCAAUUUUCGAAUAAAAGAAAAAAUGGCAAGUAACGUUGAAACAAUACGAAUGAUGAUCGAAUAAAGGAAGUUAUGAAAUCCCUUCGAGGCAAAGAGGAAUCAAUCGAAAACUAAUCGAUCAGAAAUUUUUUCAAUUUUUGAUGUAAUCUCAUCUGGAUAUAUUUUUCACGAUAAACCGUGAUAAAACUGAAAGAAGUUAGAACGUUGAUUACAUCUCCUCGUAUAAAUAUAUGAAAGAAAUUUUUAUUUGUAACUUUUUUAUGCUCUACAUGGAUACGAACAUUCAAUAAAAUCAAAACAUAGAUGAAUGUAAUGUAGGAUACGAAUACUUUUGCGAUGGACUAUAUAAUCAAUGCUAAUUAUAGACCAGAUCAAACCAUAUUUUUGCAACCUUGAAUUAAUAAUUGAGAGCUAGAUACAGCAAUUUAUAUUUUCGAAUUUCUACAAUUCAAUGUAAUUAUUCCAAUGAAUAAAAAUGAAUUUUAUGUGAA
Long non-coding RNA from Apis cerana (Asiatic honeybee), 1143 nucleotides. RefSeq lists it as uncharacterized. Lineage: Eukaryota; Metazoa; Arthropoda; Insecta; Hymenoptera; Apidae. The record is from RefSeq and is a predicted model, not a curated record.